CUGUGCUUUCAAACCAACACUUUUCAAAAAGUAUACGGUUAUAGCUUCCAAGGAACCAAACCCCAUUUCCAAUCUAACGUUCCUUAUUCCUUUUAAUUCCCUACACACCACAUUUCAGUCCAGUUCACAUUGUCUCUCCGCCUCCAUUCUCCGCACGGCGAAGCAGGGGACUCCUCCAUACAUCAUGCAAUGGCUUCCGCUGCAAAAGGCGAGCCAACGUUCGGGUGAAUAACUGCUCGUGAAAUCGGAACCUCAUCGUGGGCAUUUCUUGCUAUUAUGCCGGAGCACAAUCUACAUCUCUCUUUCUCAAAGACACCAUCAAAAUUGAUUUUAACAAUCGAUCCAGUUGGGUGUCUCCAUUUGGCCAUCGUUCUACUCCUGACCAAAGAGUCCACAAAGCACAUCCAAACAUUCGACUCUGAUGCUGAGAGCUCUCCACAAAAACCUGGGUAAGCCAAUCCAAGUGCUCCAAAUCUGGCCUAUUCAAAACCUAGAUUAAUCCUAAACAAGUCCAGACUUCUAUUGAUGUAGGACACUCUCUAAAGAUAUGGUCCACAGACUUCAUUUCUCCACCACAUCGAGGACAUCCUAUGUUCACCAUCGAUCUUCUUUGUCUUAAAUUUGGGAAAAUAGGAAUAAAAUCUUUCGUAAUUCUCCAUAUUGUAAUUUUUACUUUAGUUGGAAGCUGUAAGUUCCACAACUUCUUACGAAAGCUUUAGUAGCAGUCUGUAAUGCAUUAAAAUUAGGGCCAAAGUUGCCUACUUGUAAUAGUUUAUAGGUACUGCGGACGGAGAAUUCACCCGACGGUUCGCCUCGCCAAACCAUCAAGUCGUCAUGACACUCCUUUGCCAAGGGAAUCUGCAAUAUCCUAUUAGUAUCUCUUACUGAGAAGCGUGUUGCAGGAACUACAUCUGCUACAAUGCCUACACCUAUCGUUCGACAGACUCCGAUAAAAUAAUUGUGGAGAUAUGGUACGCUGAGCUUUUGGGGUUGAAAGGGGUCGAUCCCUUAGCAGUAGAAGUUUGGAUUGAAUCCACUAAACGUGCUUUGCAUCAACUUGAGUGCAACUCGCGUGAAAGCGUGAUUUAUGUUGUUUCUCUAUUGCAAUGAGAAACGUAUAUAUGGUGACCGUUAGUAACAUGCCACGUACCUAUUGAACAGGUCAAUUGAGAAUUCUUUCAAAAGGAAUUUCAAAAGAAAUAUGUCAGAGGAUUGUACAUAGAAGAUAGAAGGCAAGAGUUUUUGCUUUAAAGCAGAGUGGGAUGUCAAUGGCCGAUUAUGAAAAGGAGCUUGUACGACUUGGUAAGUACGCUAUUGAAUUUGUGCCAUCUAAAAUCGAAAGUUGUAAGCAAUUUCUACGUGGGUUACGUGAUGAACUUCGGUUACAUUUGGUAUCGCAUCAGAUUACAGAGUUUGCUAAUCUAGUUGAACGAGCAAAGAUGGUAGAACAAGCCUUGGGACUAGAUAAAAAGGCUGAGGUUACUCGUACUUUUGAGAAGCGGUAUGGAGCUGCUAGCUCAUAUCCGUAACCAAAACGAACCAAGGAAUUUUACGGUGGUUGAAAAUUAACUUUUAAGUCUAAUAAAUUUGAUAGAAACCGUGAUCGACUAUAGACUAUGUCUACGGGUAGUGUGCAAGGUUCGUAUAGGGAUACUGAUAUCUCAAAUUGUGAACAUUAUGGGAAAAUGCACUGUGGUGAAUGUUGGAAGCUAACCUGGGCUUGUUUUCGCUGUGGAUCUAUGGAGUAUUUUGCUUGAGAGUGUCCAAAGAAUGAGAAUGCUACUCUUGUUUCUUCUCAGAGGUUUAUGUCUGCAUCUAGGGGACGUAGAACAAGUUGCGGUGGUUUUUUUGCUAGAAGUGGUGCUAGAAAGGGAAGCGACAUUGUUACUUACUAGGAAGAGGCCAGAGCGCCAACACAAGCUUAUGUUGUAUGGACACGUGAGGAUGGUGAUGCUAUUGACAUUGUGGCAAGUAUAUUUUUAUUGCAUUCAGUACUUGUUUAUGCUUUGAUAGACUCGAGACCUUACACUCAUAUGUUAAUGUUGAAUUAGUUAAAUCGGGAAGUUUAAAAGGUGAGACGUCUAGAGUAUCGAUAGUUGUGUCAAGUCCUUUGGGAUAGUCCGUAAUAGUGGAUCAGGUGUGUAGGCAAUGCCUGUUAGAAAUACAGAAUAUAACAUUCCCUGCUAAUUUGUUGAUAAUGCCAUUUGGUGACUUUGAUUUAAUAUUAGGAAUUGUUUGGCUUACUAAA
This is a long non-coding RNA of Gossypium raimondii (Peruvian cotton), 2248 nucleotides long. RefSeq lists it as uncharacterized. The transcript has 4 exons. The record is from RefSeq and is a predicted model, not a curated record. NCBI's taxonomy places the organism in Eukaryota, Viridiplantae, Streptophyta, Magnoliopsida, Malvales, Malvaceae.